CAAGAUAUUUCAGUCUCAAUCUAGUCAUGGAGAGUUGGCCAACCAAAUAUUAACGCCAGUUCUUCAAUUCCCGAGAAACCAUCCUUGAUUCUUCUUCCUUAGUCGAAAGGCACCACCAAGCAGAAAACUUUCCACGCCCCAAUAUAGCAAUCAACACAGCACCAUAAACCAGAUUGUCUCUAUUGCACCCUCACCUGGAAAAGCUCAAGAUCUGAAAAAAUAAAACAACCUCACAAAACUAUGAAUAAACCAGACUAGGAAGGGAAGGGACCCAUCACCCAGUCGGAGAAACCAUCCUUCCCUUACCCGAAGGGCAGGAGAGGGCCACCGGAGACGCUCGACGAAGAUCGGAGAAGACUAUAGAUCAACAGUUAAAGAGAGGAUAUUCUGUCUCUAGG
RNAcentral lists this unclassified non-coding RNA (398 nucleotides) under Hevea brasiliensis (rubber tree). Lineage: Eukaryota; Viridiplantae; Streptophyta; Magnoliopsida; Malpighiales; Euphorbiaceae. The record is from RNAcentral.